This 319-nucleotide ribosomal RNA is filed under the name uncultured eukaryote. RNAcentral describes it as "partial 18S ribosomal RNA". It matches the Rfam family "Eukaryotic small subunit ribosomal RNA", at positions 1470 to 1796 of the family's 1831-position model. The record is from RNAcentral.
CCCUUAGAUGUUCUGGGCAGCACGCGCGCUACAAUGGUCUUCGCAAACGGAUGCAUUCUCGAAGGAGAAUGCCAAUCUUGGAAUCUAUGCCUUGGUCGGGACAGUUGCUUGCAAUUUUUCGACUCGAACCAGGAAUUCCUUGUAAUCGUGAUUCAUCACAUCACGAUGAAUACGUCCCUGCCCUUUGUACACACCGCCCGUCGCUCCUACCGAUCGAAGAGUUAGGUGAAUUGUUUUGAUCGAUAAGAUUUUACUAUGGUCAACUCUCGUUGUGAAAUUCUGUGAAUCUGACUGUUUAGAGGAAGGAAAAGUCGUAACA